Molecule: long non-coding RNA, 1856 nt
Organism: Danio aesculapii
Lineage: Eukaryota; Metazoa; Chordata; Actinopteri; Cypriniformes; Danionidae
Exons: 3
Source: RefSeq, a predicted model, not a curated record
UAUAAAACCUCAUGUUCAACUAUUACCAAAAGCUGUGCAGUAUUUCCUCAGUGAUGGUUAAUGAACCCUGGCAAUCAGUGAGUGAUUUGCUGUUUGUGUCAGUUUGUGUUUUGCAGGGACUGUAAAGACGAGUAUCACGAGGGUCCCUGCAGACACACGACCAGCACAGCAUCAGGAGGAGCCCUGCAGGGUUAUGUUGUAGAUGAAGAAGCGGCUCUUCGUGCUCGAUGGGAACAGGCUUCACAGGAGACCAUCACCAAAACCACUCACCCCUGCCCCAAAUGCCAGGUUCCUGUGGAGAAAAAUGGUGGCUGUAUGCACAUGGUGUGUCCGCGUCCGCAGUGUAAGUUCGAGUGGUGCUGGCUGUGUCGCGUGGAGUGGAACAGGGACUGUAUGGGAAACCAUUGGUUUGAAUGAGACGGAUUUGCUCUGACAGAUGAAACUCAGGAAAUAAAGCCAACGGAAAGCUGGCAGAAGACUUUCAGAUCAUUAGCAUGUCAAGUCAUUAUCCAACCCAGGCUCAUUCUGAUUACGCGCCCCGAUAUACAUUUCUAGAGAGCGGCAAAAACAUCCCAGGAGCUACUUUUUUUAGCAGUUUUCGCGAAUCCAACAGAGGCUGCUGUGUAUGCUUUUUCAGAUCUCGGAUUUCUCUCGCGAGUGCCAUUUGCACCUGCUGUUCAUGUGUAAAUCCACCAGAGGCCGCUGUCCACUGACUGACUGACUGACCAACUGAUCCCGCUACCCACACCCUUCCCUAAACCAAAACGAUAGUGUUUUUAAAAUCAAUCCAGAAUAAGAAAAGCCUUCGUGGCAGCUUGUUUUUUUCCACAUUUUCAUUAUUUCCGUGUUUUUAUUUUAUUUUUUGCCUUUUGUUUUUGUUUUACCUGCUUUCUGGAACCAUUUUUCGGCAGACUCGAAUCCUGUCAUCACGAUCAACUCCGCUCUGCAACUCAAGUCCUCCAACGUACAUGGUGAGCCAAUAGACAAACUGGUAACGGCAGAAAAGCUGUCCAUAUGGAGGUAAGCGGUCAGCUGGUACACUCUCAUAAAUAAAUGUACAGGAGCUGUUUCUGGGGCAGUACCUUUUCAAAAGGUACCUAUUUGUACCCAAAAAGUUCACAGUGGUACCUCAAAGGUGCAUAUUAGUACCCGAAUGUACCUAAAAAGUACCUUUGAGGUACCAUUAUGGACCCUUCAGUCACAAAUAUGUACCUUUUGAAAAGGUACUGCCCCAGAAACAGCUCCUGUACCUUUAUUUCUGAGAGUGUAAAGCCAAAAGGAACACCGUCAUACCGCCCCAUAGCAUUCAUUUUGAAGACAAAAUGCAGCCAUACGUACUUCUGGCUUCAAAAUUUGUGUUCUCCAGAAAUGUCUGUAGAGCUACGUUUUCAGAAUGAGCCUGUGUUGUCAUUAUCACUGUUGUGAAGUACAUAUCAAAGAAAUGCUGCUGACGUUCAAAGCCAUUUAUAAUACACUGAAAAAGAGCCUCACUGGAUCAACUUAAAUAAAUGACUUCAACUUCUUACACCUAAAAGAAUAAACACUGUAAAAAUUCAGGAUUCCACACAAUUCCUUCAUGUUGUCCCAACACAAACUGAUUAAUUAAGUUAACUUAAAUCGCUUUUACAAAUGUAAGCGGAUUGAACAUAAAACAAUUAAGUUGCCCCCUCAAAAAAACUCAAGAAUUUCAGCUUAUUUUAAAUGUGUAGUUGAAACAAACAGAAAAUGUUUGUCAGACUUAUUUAUUAAUGAAAACCAUAAUAAAUUAAGUUGGAAACUGAAGUCAUUUGUUUAGGUUUUCACUUUUUACAGUGUUUUGGGUGGGACUGAAUAAAACUCUAUAGUGUUUUGAUGAA